RNAcentral lists this ribosomal RNA (1623 nucleotides) under human gut metagenome. RNAcentral's name for it is "bacterial LSU rRNA". It matches the Rfam family "Bacterial large subunit ribosomal RNA", at positions 828 to 2524 of the family's 2925-position model. The record is from RNAcentral.
UCCAAUCGAACUCGGAGAUAGCUGGUUCUCCCCGAAAUAGCUUUAGGGCUAGCGUUGGCUUAGAUUACCGGAGGUAAAGCACUGAAUGGGCUAGGGGCCGAUAAGGUUACUGAACCCUAUCAAACUCUGAAUGCCGGAUAAUUGAUGGCCAGCAGUCAGUCUACGUGAGAUAAGUCUCGUGGACAAAAGGGAAACAGCCCAGACCCACAGCUAAGGUCCCAAAGAUACGCUAAGUGGAAAACGAUGUGGAGUUGCGAAAACAACCAGGAUGUUGGCUUAGAAGCAGCCACUCAUUAAAAGAGUGCGUAAUAGCUCACUGGUCGAGUGACUCUGCGCGGAAAAUAUAACGGGGCUAAGCGUAACACCGAAGCUUGGGCUGCACAGCAAUGUGCGGGGUAGGGGAGCGUCGAAUAUGGGGUGAAGUCGCAGCGGAAGCAGCGGUGGACUGUAUUCGAGUGAGAAUGCCGGAAUGAGUAGCGAGAAUUAUGUGGGAAUCAUAAUGGCCGAAAAUCUAAGGUUUCCUGGGGAAGGUUCGUCCGCCCAGGGUAAGCCGGGAGCUAAGGCGAGGCCGGAAGGCGUAGUCGAUGCACAUACGGUUGAAAUUCCGUAGCCACCGAACCUUAAGUACACUGACACAUGGAGAUAGCGGGACCCGGGCGUUGGUUGACCCGGGCGUAAGGGACCGAACUUUAGUAGGGAAGUCCGCGAUGCUCUGUGGCGAGAAAAGGUGUAUGGUAUGCUAAGGUGCCCGUACCGCAAACCGACACAGGUAGAUGAGGAGAGAAUCCUAAGGCCAACGGGAGAAGGGUUGUUAAGGAACUCGGCAAAAUGACCCCGUAACUUCGGGAUAAGGGGAGCCUCCUACGGGAGGCCGCAGCGAAUAGGCCCAAGCGACUGUUUACCAAAAACACAGGUCUCUGCUAAAUCGAAAGAUGACGUAUAGGGGCUGACGCCUGCCCGGUGCUGGAAGGUUAAGAGGAGAUGUUAGCCGCAAGGCGAAGCAUUGAAUCGAAGCCCCAGUAAACGGCGGCCGUAACUAUAACGGUCCUAAGGUAGCGAAAUUCCUUGUCAGGUAAGUUCUGACCCGCACGAAUGGCGUAACGACUUGGGCGCUGUCUCAACAGCCCACCCGGCGAAAUUGUUGUACUGGUGAAGAAGCCAGUUACCCGCAACUAGACGGAAAGACCCCAUGGAGCUUUACUGUAGCUUAAUACUGGAAAUCGGUAAAUCAUGUACAGGAUAGGUGGGAGACUUGGAAGCCAGGGCGUCAGCUUUGGUGGAGUCACCCUUGGGAUACCACCCUUGAUUUGCUGGUUUUCUAACCUGCGGCCGUGAAUCCGGUCGGGGGACACUGUUAGGUGGGCAGUUUGACUGGGGCGGUCGCCUCCUAAAAGGUAACGGAGGCGCUCAAAGGUUCGUUCAGCACGGACGGAAACCGUGCAGUGAGUGUAAACGCAUAAACGAGCCUAACUGCGAGACCGACGGGUCGAGCAGUAACGAAAGUUGGAGUUAGUGAUCCGGCGGUAUGUGAGUGGAAAUGCCGUCGCUCAACGGAUAAAAGCUACCCUGGGGAUAACAGGCUGAUCUCCCCCAAGAGUCCACAUCGACGGGGAGGUUUGGCAC